This 249-nucleotide non-coding RNA is filed under the name Pongo abelii (Sumatran orangutan). The record is from RNAcentral. Lineage: Eukaryota; Metazoa; Chordata; Mammalia; Primates; Hominidae.
GGGAAACUCACUCAAGGUCAAAAACUUUGUUAGGAACAGAGCUCAUCAGAGCCCGCGGUCUCCAGAACCCCACAACAACAUCUGAAAAUAGAGAGCAGCCGCCUCACCCGCAACAGGGGGAGCCCCUCCUGCCACCAGGGGACCGUCGCCGCCCUUCGCGAGAAGCUGCAGGCGUGGCAGAAUGGCUUGGUGGGCGGUGCCCGGGGCGUGCCUGGGCGGGGCCGGGUGAGAGGGGUAGUGCAUAAGGCC